CAUACCUGCAUUGCUGGUCAGCCCGAGGCUUCUGCCACUUCAGAAAAGAAGAAAGUAUUGGAUUGACCACUAAUUGGAAAUCCUACAAGCCCUCGGUGGAUUAAAGAAGAUUAGUGGAGAAAGAAGAGAUCGGACAUUCACUUGCAUUAAUGCAGUGGCUCCAAGUAGCUGGACCGUCCACACUUCAACACGAAAUGAAUUACGUGACCUUCCUCCUUCCUCCCAGCCCUGAGGGCAGUGGCACCAGUGGUUUUUCCCACAGUUAGUGAAGGAAACAGCCACAUACCCCACGCCAAGGGCAUAACUUAAAAAACAAUUAUUGGAGAGCAG
Long non-coding RNA from Cuculus canorus (common cuckoo), 330 nucleotides. RefSeq lists it as uncharacterized. The record is from RefSeq and is a predicted model, not a curated record. The transcript has 2 exons. NCBI's taxonomy places the organism in Eukaryota, Metazoa, Chordata, Aves, Cuculiformes, Cuculidae.